GUGCUUGCCUCAGCAGCACAUGUACCAAAAUUGGAAUGAUACAAAGAUUAGCAUGGUCCCUGUGCAAAGAUAACAGGCACAUUCAUGAAGCAUUCCAUUCAUAC
Small nuclear RNA from Callithrix jacchus (white-tufted-ear marmoset), 104 nucleotides. The record is from Ensembl. Lineage: Eukaryota; Metazoa; Chordata; Mammalia; Primates; Cebidae.